RNAcentral lists this long non-coding RNA (432 nucleotides) under Physcomitrium patens. Its description in RNAcentral is "long non-coding RNA (PPAT_LNC007027)". The record is from RNAcentral. Lineage: Eukaryota; Viridiplantae; Streptophyta; Bryopsida; Funariales; Funariaceae.
CAUAUAGGAGAAUUUGAACAUAGGAAAAGACUAUAUAUAUGAGCUCCAAUUGUUAGGGUCACACAAUUAACCGCUACUAUUGAAUGCUUACAAUAUCGAAGAACAUUUAACUUUUCCUCCUACUGUCCACUUUCUCAUAUCAAUACGAUAACAACCACAACAUUAAUUUCAGUAUCCUAUGUAAUUCACGAAGACACAAGUAUAAUCCAAACCCUGGAACGAAUAACUUUUCAUCCAUAGAAUCUGAUCGAGAUAAUUCCUUUGAUUACAAUUUCUCUCCACUGAACUCACAACCUUGCGAUAAACAGUGACUCGAAACUUCUAUACAUCAUCAAUCUUUCACAACAAUUGAUAAACAGUGAUCCAUAAAUAACUUCGUAAAUCAAACAUUGAUUCAUUAAAUUGAUUCUCUUCACUAGAAUCAAUACUAAC